ACCAUCGUAGGUCUCAUCUUUCUCAGCCCCUUAUUGCUUCCAUGACUAACCCCAAAGUUUGCUUCGACCUAGUGGAGUCUCCAAGUUCUUUUGUUAAGGUGAGGAGACAUUACAAUCUAGCAAAACAAGUUGUUGUAGAGAGAUGGCAAAGAAGUAGAUUGGAGCAGGCUCAAGAAAACAACUGCGGUGGUCGGUUGUGGUGAUGGAUGCAAUAAGGGGCUUAGAAAGAUGGGACCUACCGUGGG
Molecule: microRNA precursor, 245 nt
Filed under: Gossypium raimondii (Peruvian cotton)
Lineage: Eukaryota; Viridiplantae; Streptophyta; Magnoliopsida; Malvales; Malvaceae
Description: miR8701 stem-loop (gra-MIR8701)
Source: miRBase by way of RNAcentral